UAAUGUAUGGGGAUCUGCCCGAUAGAGGGGGGUAACUACUGGAAACGGUGGCUAAUACCGCAUAAUGUCUACGGACCAAAGCAGGGGCUCUUCGGACCUUGCACUAUCGGAUGAACCCAUAUGGGAUUAGCUAGUAGGUGGGGUAAAGGCUCACCUAGGCGACGAUCUCUAGCUAGUCUGAGAGGAUGAUCAGCCACACUGGGACUGAGACACGGCCCAG
RNAcentral lists this ribosomal RNA (220 nucleotides) under uncultured bacterium. RNAcentral describes it as "partial 16S ribosomal RNA". It matches the Rfam family "Bacterial small subunit ribosomal RNA", at positions 111 to 334 of the family's 1533-position model. The record is from RNAcentral.